UGUUUAUGAAUGCUGUCACUACUAGGGUUUUUGAUUGACGUGGUUGGGAUGAUAUUUAAUCUAAUCUCCUACUUUUUCUUCCGAUUUCGAGUGUGUGUUUGUGAUAAAUCAUUUGAAUUGUUGCUCUCGUUUGAUUUGCUUUCUCGAUGCAUCAUUCCUUUUGCCUCCUCGAAUACUUCUGCUAUGAAGCCGAAAUUAAUCGCUGGAAUUUGUGUGUUGCAAUUUUACUUUUCAUUACUUCUUUGUGUUGAAUUUGGGUACUGCAAUUUUGAGCAUUUACCACUGAACAGGAAGUCUUAAAGUCUUUUUCUCUUUGCUCUUUCCAUGACCAAAAUCCGAAGCAACAAAAUGAUAGUUUGAAACUUGUUCUGUGUGGUAGGGGGUUAAUCCACGAAUAGAAGGAAUUAUUCACGCCCUGUCUUAAAAGAUCUGCAUAGCCUUACAAAGUUGUUUAUUAAUUGUGUAGUUCUUUGUUAUUUCAUGAAGUUCUAGAUUAUCUCUUCUCAUGGUAGACACUAGACAUUUUCUCUGUAGAUUUAGGAGCAAAUGUGAAUUUUUGGAGCAAGCUUUAGGUUGAUUGGGCUUCAAUUAUGUCGACCAUCUUUGUGAGUUAAAGAGUGUGACGACUGAAUCUACCUGUGACUGCUAUUUCUUCACCAUGGUUGCUUCUAGUAAAGCACAUCUUAGAAAGAGCCCGAACUCUGGAAGCCAUGAGCCACAAUGCGAUUAGGAAUUACUUGUUCAGCAGCAGAGGCAUCAGAAGCCGCCCAGGGAAAUAUUAAGGACAAAGGUGUUGAAGCGGGUCAGGAUUUUGAUACCCACUCUGCGAAUCAUAUUGAGACUUGCAAGUUGCAUCCAAGAUCAAGGCAAUGGUGGUGACAGCAUGGAGUUAGCUCCCUUGCAGAAUGAGAUGGGAGCAAGAGCACAUGGAGGGACUUCCAAGCUGCUUGGAUCUGAAAUUAAUGCCGUUAAGGGAUAUCUCAAGGCUGCAAAGCAUCGGAGAAAAGCGAUCCAAAAAGAGCAAAGUUUCCCCCCUGCACCAUAAUCCGACAAGGCCAAUCCUCCAUCUAGCGCGUCUCCUUCGAGACCCCUGAAGUGGCUAGACUUCCUGGUUUGGUAGUAGUAUUCCCCCAGUCCUCUUUGCCAUCCUUGGAACCAAUGCAAGUCCCUCCUGUUGGCACUCCUUUCAGCAGGAUGUGACCCAGCUACGGAGGCCUCCCGUACGUAGUCUGCUCCGGUUGACAUUGAAUUAUAGUCAUGCUUUCUUGAUCCUCAUUUAUCAUUCUUGGCUCAUUCCCAUAUCAUUACUAAUGCAUCUAACUUACAAGCUUGUGAACCCGUCAUGCAACUAUUUGAGGACUACUGCCUGAAGAUGAGCAGGGCCGAAGAGGCGACAAAGAGGGCCAAGAGAGAGGCUAUGUAUAGAUGCUUACCUGCACGAAGGCCAAGUCUGACAAGAGAGUGACUGCAACAAUGGAGGAGGAGGUCGCUCAGGUUUCCCAAAGAGCUGACGAAGUAGAAAGGAAACCCAUAAGGUUUUUGGCUGAGGUGGAUACGGAGGCAGCAGAGAUGAAGGGCGAGGAAGCUGUUGUCAAAGCUUGAGCCUUGUCAGCUAGUCAUCCUGUGUUGGAGGUCCGAUGCCUUAUACCGCUCGGCAUCGGAUCUGAUCCGACAAAUAUUUAAUGUAACGAUAAUACAAUGUUUGAACAAUACGACCUGAUAUCACGGUUGCCUUUGAAUUUUUUCUCGAGAAAUGCUACUCGACCACCCUCGGUGACACCCAAUAAACAAUUACAAAUCUACCCUAUGCUUCAAUUACAAAUAGACCCUUAAUUCAUCCUUCUUCCCCCCUCUCUCUCUCUUUCUAUUACGCGCGUGACUGAGCCUUUGGAGUCCCUUUGGCUCGUUCCGGCCGUCUCUCUCUGUCUCUCUCUCCUACCUGUGUGACUGGAUCUCCAUUGGCCCCAAUCUUCAAGGAGGUAUAUAUGUGUAUAUAUACUUUCCGUCUUUUAGUUUUAUCAGCAAUUACUUUCAACAUAGAUCCAUCAUAUAUACGUAUAUAUGCGCGAUUUGGGUUAGACCGAAAUUUAAGCUUAGAUCUAUGGAGAUUCAACCGUUGGAUCUUGCUGCUUUUUGGGUAUGUGGUUCGAUGGGGAUAAGGGUGUCGGGUGGUUGACUCUGGUUGUAUAUGGCGUGGUGUAUGACAACGAUUGAAAAAUAUACACUGCAUGACAACGAUUAGUUGUUUGGACUCUACAGAGAAAGAGGCUGCUGGGUCUUAUGUUUCUUGAAAACUAGUUUUUGGGUAGGGAUGUCAACAAUGUAGUAGAGUGAGAGUAUGAAUGCAUUCUUUAAUGGUUAUGUACACUUGAAAAGCUCGUUGAAGCAAUUUAUUGAACAAUAUGAGCGGACAUUGAGGUGUAAAGUUGAAAAAGAGUUUCAGGUCGAAGUUGGGUCAUUUUCUUAGAUGAUCCCAUGUGCAUCAAGGUAUCCCAAGGAGAAACAAUUUCAAAAAGUGUACACCAUCUCAAAAUUCAAGUAGUUUCAGGACGAAUUCACUGGGAAUAUGUAUUGUGAGGUUGUGUAUACCGAAGAGGGAUUGUUGGGUAUGAAGUACAAGAAGAUAUCAUAUUUGAUGAAAGAGUUAAGGAGAAAAAAAAUUCGAUUGUUUUUGAGAAAGAGAAAUGUGAUAUCGUUUGCAACUGCCAUAUGUUCGAGUUUAGGGGAAUAAUUUGCAGACAUGCUGUCAGAUGAAUUCCUGAGAGGUAUAUCUUAAUGCAAUGAAGGAGAUGUCAAUAGAUCCUACACGAGGGUCAAGAUCAAUUACAACGGUUGGAUUAGUACUCUUAACCAGUUAAGAUUCGAUGAACUGUUUAGUGCGCUUGCCAAAGUUGCAAACGUGGUUGCAGAUGACGAAUAACAUACCCGGGAAACUAUGGAGUGGAUCGAAUCUCAAUUGAAUGCAUUGAGCAUAUCCAAUGCGAAGCCAAGCUGUGGUAGUAAUAUAUAUGAUGAACACAUUGUGCAAGAACAAGUCCUUGAUUGUGGAGAGGCAGCAACAGAUUCAAGCGGGAAAAUCUUGGAUCCGAGAUGCUUGCAGAUAAAAGGAUCUCUUGGGAAGCUUUGCAAGAAGGGCCCAUUGGAAACGAGUUCCAAGAUAGCGUAGGUGGGAUCCUCGAAAUCAAACAAAGGCAAGGCCCGAGGCAAAACAUUGAUGGCCUCAAGCAUUCAAUCAAGGUUUUUCACAAUAAGCACAGUAUCACACUCUGAUACCAAUGUUCUACUCACAACAAUUGAUGGCUGCUCACUAUCAAACUUUGAAUGCUGCUUAUGGAGUGCAUAUGGUACCUACUUUUGGCACGGCUUAGCCCUUCGUGCCAAUGUACCUGUCCCAUCAAUGGCCCGAUGACAACCCACCAGAUUUUUGAGGCAUUGACAGCCCACCAAAUGGUGCUCAGGUUUGUUGACAUUAGGAAAUCAAGAUGAUGAUAUAACUGCACUUCAGGUAUGGUCUUCUCCUGUUUUGGUUUUCACUUUAUUCUGUUAACCCUCUGAAUUCCGACUUUGUGAAUAAAGAAAAAGAAAACUCACUCACUCUUAUGAUUUAUAUGCUAACCAAAUUAUUUACAAAAACUCUGGGGAUAUGUUUUCAUUGAAAGUGAUGUAAUACUAUAUCUAGGAUUUUAUUCCAUUAUGCUUCCGUUUGUUUUGAUCUUACCAAAUCUGGAGCCAACACCCAUUUUGAAGUGCCCAUACUUUUUUUUUUUUUUUACUUUAUGCAUCAUCUAGUCUUCAAUCAGUUUAUGCACUUGAAUUAUGAAGAGGAUUUGAAGUGGUUUAUUAUCCUCUUAUCUCCUUUCAUAAGGGCUAUCGUCAUAUUUUGUGGCAGUUUUUUUUUUUUCAAUUAAGUGGAAAGCAGUCUUCUUGUUUUGGUCUUCACUUAAUUCCCCAAUAUCUAAUAUCCUUUCCACGAAGAGCAUAUAUUUUGAUAAACCUGGAGAAAUUGCAGAUUCUAUCAAAUGGACUCUACGAGUCGACUCUGCAUCGAGUCAUCAACUCCUCCCCCAAAAUAUCAGACCAACCUUGAAGCUGCUGGAGAACCCUUGGAUGCUUGUGUAAAGAGAACUGGUGGGACCAAGAAAUUUGGAAGAGCUAUUUAUGGAGAGCAUUUAGUUAGCGAAGUACAAACCAAUUUUGUAAAAGAUGAAUCAGAUUCUUGAACCUUUAAACUUCUAUUCUAUUUUGAUAAACUAAUAAUUUCAAUGUCCUGUAGACUGUAUCUGAACCGGUAUCGAAUAUUGUCUGUUGCUAAGAUGUACAUUAAGUUGCUGUAAACUCCUUGUAUUUUAUUGUCAUCGGAAUGACUAUGUCUUGUGGUUGGA
Molecule: long non-coding RNA, 4382 nt
Organism: Diospyros lotus (date-plum)
Lineage: Eukaryota; Viridiplantae; Streptophyta; Magnoliopsida; Ericales; Ebenaceae
Exons: 6
Source: RefSeq, a predicted model, not a curated record